Molecule: ribosomal RNA, 591 nt
Filed under: uncultured Mycobacterium sp.
Lineage: Bacteria; Bacillati; Actinomycetota; Actinomycetes; Mycobacteriales; Mycobacteriaceae
Description: bacterial SSU rRNA
Rfam family: Bacterial small subunit ribosomal RNA
Source: RNAcentral
CGUAGGGCGCGAGCGUUGUCCGGAAUUACUGGGCGUAAAGAGCUCGUAGGUGGUUUGUCGCGUUGUUCGUGAAAUCUCACGGCUUAACUGUGAGCGUGCGGGCGAUACGGGCAGACUUGAGUACUGCAGGGGAGACUGGAAUUCCUGGUGUAGCGGUGGAAUGCGCAGAUAUCAGGAGGAACACCGGUGGCGAAGGCGGGUCUCUGGGCAGUAACUGACGCUGAGGAGCGAAAGCGUGGGGAGCGAACAGGAUUAGAUACCCUGGUAGUCCACGCCGUAAACGGUGGGUACUAGGUGUGGGUUUCCUUCCCUGGGAUCCGUGCCGUAGCUAACGCAUUAAGUACCCCGCCUGGGGAGUACGGCCGCAAGGCUAAAACUCAAAGAAAUUGACGGGGGCCCGCACAAGCGGCGGAGCAUGUGGAUUAAUUCGAUGCAACGCGAAGAACCUUACCUGGGUUUGACAUGCGCAGGACGCCGGCAGAGAUGUCGGUUCCCUUGUGGCCUGUGUGCAGGUGGUGCAUGGCUGUCGUCAGCUCGUGUCGUGAGAUGUUGGGUUAAGUCCCGCAAGGAGCGCAACCUUGUCUCAUGUUG